GCGGCAGGCCUAACACAUGCAAGUCGAGCGGUAGAGAGAAGCUUGCUUCUCUUGAGAGCGGCGGACGGGUGAGUAAUGCCUAGGAAUCUGCCUGGUAGUGGGGGAUAACGUUCGGAAACGAACGCUAAUACCGCAUACGUCCUACGGGAGAAAGCAGGGGACCUUCGGGCCUUGCGCUAUCAGAUGAGCCUAGGUCGGAUUAGCUAGUUGGUGAGGUAAUGGCUCACCAAGGCGACGAUCCGUAACUGGUCUGAGAGGAUGAUCAGUCACACUGGAACUGAGACACGGUCCAGACUCCUACGGGAGGCAGCAGUGGGGAAUAUUGGACAAUGGGCGAAAGCCUGAUCCAGCCAUGCCGCGUGUGUGAAGAAGGUCUUCGGAUUGUAAAGCACUUUAAGUUGGGAGGAAGGGCAGUUACCUAAUACGUGAUUGUUUUGACGUUACCGACAGAAUAAGCACCGGCUAACUCUGUGCCAGCAGCCGCGGUAAUACAGAGGGUGCAAGCGUUAAUCGGAAUUACUGG
This 523-nucleotide ribosomal RNA is filed under the name Pseudomonas extremorientalis. RNAcentral's name for it is "bacterial SSU rRNA". It matches the Rfam family "Bacterial small subunit ribosomal RNA", at positions 39 to 557 of the family's 1533-position model. The record is from RNAcentral. Lineage: Bacteria; Pseudomonadati; Pseudomonadota; Gammaproteobacteria; Pseudomonadales; Pseudomonadaceae.